Molecule: long non-coding RNA, 209 nt
Filed under: Elaeis guineensis (African oil palm)
Lineage: Eukaryota; Viridiplantae; Streptophyta; Magnoliopsida; Arecales; Arecaceae
Description: long non-coding RNA (EGUI_LNC048357)
Source: RNAcentral
UGUACACUUAUAUAUUAGUUGUUUUAAGCCCAAGCAUGAUAGGGGUCCAUUUUGGCUUGUGUUAUAAAUGUAAGAUUGUGUACCUCUGAAGUACAUUAAGCAGACCCUACUUUUGUAAGGCAUGUUCAAAGUUUAUCAUGAUGAAUAAUAUUUGAGCUUGACUUCUUUUGAGAAUUUGAAGUUUGUUGAAUGCUUGGAAUAGUAAAGUA